ACCGCCGGUCUUAAGUAAUAAGCAAUUAUACGGGCGUAAACUGUCGCAAUGGGCUCAUUAUAUAAGUUAUCGCGGUUAUUUGAUAGCACCUUACUACUUGGAUAACCGUGGUAAUUCUAGAGCUAAUACAUGUCUAAAAAUCCCGACUUCGGAAGGGAUGUAUUUAUUAGAUUAAAAACCAAUGCCCUCUGGGCUCUCUGGUGAUUCAUGAUAACUUCUCGAAUCGCAUGGCCUUGCGCCGGCGAUGGUUCAUUCAAAUUUCUUCCCUAUCAACUUUCGAUGUUUGGGUAGUGGCCAAACAUGGUUGCAACGGGUAACGGAGGGUUAGGGCUCGACCCCGGAGAAGGAGCCUGAGAAACGGCUACUACAUCCAAGGAAGGCAGCAGGCGCGCAAAUUACCCAAUCCCGACACGGGGAGGUAGUGACAAUAAAUACUGAUACAGGGCUCUUUUGGCCGCAGGUUCACCUACGGAGUCUUGUAAUUGGAAUGAGUACAAUUUAAAUCCCUUAACGAGGAACAAUUGGAGGGCAAGUCUGGUGCCAGCAGCCGCGGUAAUUCCAGCUCCAAUAGCGUAUAUUAAAAGUUGUUGUGGUUAAAAAGCUCGUAAUUGAACCUUGGGCCUGGCUGGGACGGUCCGCCCUCACCGCGUGCACUGGUCCGGCCGGGCCUUUCCCUUGGUGAAACCCCAUGCCCCUUCACUGGGGGGGGGGGCGGGGAAACCAGAACUUUUAACUUUUGAAAAUAAUU
RNAcentral lists this ribosomal RNA (748 nucleotides) under Purpureocillium lilacinum. RNAcentral describes it as "bacterial SSU rRNA". It matches the Rfam family "Eukaryotic small subunit ribosomal RNA", at positions 63 to 770 of the family's 1831-position model. The record is from RNAcentral. Lineage: Eukaryota; Fungi; Ascomycota; Sordariomycetes; Hypocreales; Ophiocordycipitaceae.